GAAGAGGGCAUCGGAUCUAUUACAGAUGGUUGUGAGCCACCAUGCGGGUGCUGGGAAUUGAACUCAGGACCUCUGGAAGAGCAGUCAGUGCUCUUAGCUACUGAGCCAUCUCUCCAGUCUGUGUACGUCUUUGAGUGCAUGAGUGUUUUGCCUCAUCUGUAUAUAUGCGCCUGCAGAGGCCAGAAGGAGGUAUCAGAUCUCCUGGAACUGGAGUUAGAAUUGCGAGCUGCUGUGUAGGUUCUGGAAACAAAACUCGGGUCCUCUGCAAGAGCAGCAGGCGCUUUUAAGCCCUAAGCCAUCACUCUCGACCCUCCACCUCAUUUUUCUGAGACAUGGCCACUCAGCCAGGUGGCGAUGGUGGCACACACCACACCUUUAAUCCUAGCACUUGGGAGAAAGAGGCAGGAGGAUCUCUGUGAUUAUGAGGUCAGCAUGGUCUACAGAGUUCUGAGACCGCCAGAGCUACACAGAGAAACCCUGUCUCAAAAAGAAAAAAAGAAAAGAAAAGAAAGAAAGGAGAAAAAGCAAAAAAGGAAAAAAAAGAAAAAAGAAAAGAAAA
This 559-nucleotide long non-coding RNA is filed under the name Rattus norvegicus (Norway rat). Its description in RNAcentral is "long non-coding RNA NONRATT014073". The record is from RNAcentral. Lineage: Eukaryota; Metazoa; Chordata; Mammalia; Rodentia; Muridae.